RNAcentral lists this non-coding RNA (31 nucleotides) under Rattus norvegicus (Norway rat). The record is from RNAcentral. Lineage: Eukaryota; Metazoa; Chordata; Mammalia; Rodentia; Muridae.
UUGUUGGGUCAUAUAUUAGCCUGGCUGGCCU